This 456-nucleotide ribosomal RNA is filed under the name uncultured bacterium. RNAcentral's name for it is "partial 16S ribosomal RNA". It matches the Rfam family "Bacterial small subunit ribosomal RNA", at positions 338 to 795 of the family's 1533-position model. The record is from RNAcentral.
CCUAGGAGGCAGCAGAGAGGAAGAUGGGUCAAGGGGAGAGAGCCUGAACCAGCAAAGGAGCGAGAGGGAGGAUGGGUCUAUGGGUUGUAAACCUCUUUUGUCGGGGAGCAAAAGCCGGACGUGUCCGGCUGUGAGAGUACCCGAAGAAAAAGCAUCGGCUAACUCCGUGCCAGCAGCCGCGGUAAUACGGAGGAUGCGAGCGUUAUCCGGAUUUAUUGGGUUUAAAGGGUGCGCAGGCGGAUUUUUAAGUCAGCGGUCAAAUCGUGGGGCUCAACCCCAUCCAGCCGUUGAAACUGGGGAUCUAGAGUGUGCGAGAGGUAUGCGGAAUGCGUGGUGUAGCGGUGAAAUGCAUAGAUAUCACGCAGAACCCCGAUUGCGAAGGCAGCAUACCGGUGCACAACUGACGCUCAGGCACGAAAGCGUGGGUAUCGAACAGGAUUAGAUACCCCAGUAGUC